Ruditapes philippinarum (Manila clam) is the source of this 2535-nucleotide long non-coding RNA. RefSeq lists it as uncharacterized. The transcript is spliced from 3 exons. The record is from RefSeq and is a predicted model, not a curated record. Lineage: Eukaryota; Metazoa; Mollusca; Bivalvia; Venerida; Veneridae.
UGCAUAAUCCAUAUCGGUACCCUCUUUGCGAAAUCUGCUGAAACGGUACCUUAUUUGCACAUGCAGAGGUCAUUGCUUUUUAAAACAAACCAGCGAUGGAUAACAAUCAUGUAAAAUUUCAUUGUAAUAAGGAAAAGAGGUACAACACUUAGAAAACAUGUAAACCACGGAACACUAGAUUGUUUUAUUUAUGUGCUGAUUUGUCAUGUGCCCGUUUUUCAUGUACUGCAACUUCAUAAUAAGCUACAAAAAUCGACAUGUCUUGCCUUGUCCAUCACCUCGACAUACUUUUCGGGCUGCAAUGAACCUGUGACUUGAUUAUAAUUUUUAUAUAUGCAUUAUACAUAUUAAAUAUGUUCAUUUACAUAUCAUCUUCGGACAAAUGGCAGUAUAUAUUGUCAAAAAUAAAUGUAAAAUUCAUAAACACCCUACUUUCGGUUUUACAGCGGCACGUGCUACCUCUCUUCAUUUGAAUUUUCAUAUAACAGGUACCCUAUCAUUUUUUAACACAUAGGUACCCUCAAAGCACGACAUAUAAUUUUAUUUGCAAUAUGCUUGUAUUUUAAUCGUUAACUGUUAAGUAUGUAAUAUUUCUUACUUUUAUGUAAAAGUCUUUAGCUUAAAUUAUUUCACACUAAGUGGAGUGAUGAAUAUUGAAUUCAUAAUUAGUUACAAAUUGUAAUUUCCAUAAAUUAUGUAAAUAACAUUUGCUCAAUAGUACAUAUGAACUAACUGUAUUGGUCAGUCAUUUCUACUUAAGUUCUGUUUGGAAUGACUCAAAAAAUUGCCUCUUCUCACUUUUUUAACAUGCUUAUUAGUCAUAAUUUCUUAAGAUGUUAUUUAACUGUUAUUUUAGAAUAAAAAGAUUAAGGCCUUUACUAUCUAUUUUCAGUGGUACCAAAAAGAUGGUAAAUUGGUAGUGUUCAGUUCCGGGCAAACAUUUUCUUCAAGAGGUUCUUGUCAGAUUGAUGAAUGUGAAAUUAAGAGGACCCAUUUUGAGAAUGCUUUUAUGAAUGGAAUCCAGAGAGAUAAAGUCUAAAAUGUGAUACUGUCAAUGUGACUAACCUUGAAGUAAACAGAUGACACAAUGUUUUUUCAAUGUCAUAGGCAUAUAAUGAAGAGAAAACAGAGAUGCUUGUUUGACAGAUACAGUAAUAGUAGGAGUUAUGAGGGAAGAUAGAUUGCAGCGAUAACUAUAUUGAGGCACCACUUUAUCACCAAGAACAUGAGAUGACUUAUCAAUGUUUUCAAUGUGUUUGAACACCCAUUUUAAAUAACACAGCUCAGAGUGAAUUUUUCAAAAUAAUUAAAUCUGUUUUCAAAGUUUUUUAUUAAGAUGUAAGUUGAUCUUGUCAAGUACUUUUAUUUUUUUAGGGAUGGCAACAAAUAUAGAGGAUAUUUGUUUGUUUUGCAUGUAAGAUUGAAAUAUAAUUUCACUGAGUGAACACCAGAUGCAAUAUUUUCACGAGUGGCGUAGCCACAAGUGAAAAUAUAAUAGCUGGUGUUCACGAAUGAAAUAUAUUUCAAUCUAAUAUGUAAAACAAAUAAAUUUUCUUUUUAUUUCAUGCGUCUUAAGUGAUUUUAAGUAAUUUUUACUGAUUUUGCUUCGUAACGUCACGCAUUCUCCUUUGUGAUGUCAUCACAUCAUGAUGUCACAUCAACAAGUUUGAAAUAUCAUUCUGUUAAAUUUCUCUAAUUUUGUUACAUUUUUAACUUAAUGUAUGGUGACAUCGACUUUCUUUUACAAAAGAAGCAAAAUUUAGGCAUGACGGCAUUUAUUUUGCCUGUUAUUCCAUUCAGAUUUGAUUUUCUUUUCAUCUGCAUUCAGAUAUAGUCCGGCUACAGUGAAAAUUAUAUUUUAUAAUUUUCACUAGUGGUUUAUCAAAAUAUAAUCAUCUGAUAUAUUACAAUAAAACACUGGAAAGCAUGAAAUAAACUAAAAUCAAUAUUCGAGUACUCGGUCAUUUUUCCGAUUGAGUAUUCGGUUACUCGGAUGAUUUCCAAUGAUCUUUAAAUUUUUAUCACACAAUAUCAACACCGUCUACAUGCUACCUUCAUUUUCUAUUUUAAUUCAUAGAAUUUGUAGCUAUAAAUAGGAUUGCAAGAAAUACAUAUAAUAAAUAUAAACAUAAGAAAUGUCAAUGACAGCAUUUAUUAUAUACCUAUAAAUUUUCUUCCUAAAUCUCAGGAUAAUCUUGAAGCGCAAAUAGGCUUCAACGGUUAGAAAAUUCUGUAUUAUGUUAGAGACAAAUACAGUACCAUAUAUGGAAGGGCUGGACUAUUUUUGACCUUGGUUCUGAUCUUAGCUGUGUAUAACGUAGUAUUUGGAAACGGCAACCAAAAUAAGAAAAGGUGUGGCAGGUUUUGCACAAAUUACGUAUUCAUCUGUCAGUCAUAAAUUUAUUUCUUGACAGCUACAUUUCUUUUUCUGAAAUUUCUUAUAUAAGUGUAGUAUAAUGAAAAUCAUUUAUACUUCAAACGGAAAGGUAUAUAAUAAAAGGAAAAUUAUGUUGUAGUAGCUUUCUGAGGCUAUGC